AAAAGAUAUAGUAUUAUCUCUCUCUAAAUUUCUCUGGUUUUAUUUUAUUUCAUAUUAUUCCAUAACACGUUAUGAGCACGAAGUUCUAGCCAACUAGGUUGUUAUGAUGCUGCCAGUGCAAGUAGCGUCAUUUAAUGUUAAUAAUAUGGUAAGAACGGUGACAUGGUAAAAGGUGUACAACGCCAACAUGUAUCUGGCCAUCACGGUUAGCCUUUUCUAAUCAAUUUUUAAGUUUCUUUACACUUUGCUAUUUAUAUUUUUCAUACAUGAACAAAAUUGCUUUACGGAAAAGUUUUUCUUGAAAGUUCAUCAAGUCAUGUAAGGAUUUUUGGUGUAAAAAAAGAACAAUAAAUAUUUUUCCUAUAACAAAUAUUAUGUUCCUAUGUGUUAAUAUUAAGAAACACAAAGUGAAGAUUUUUGAGAGAACAUAUAUUUUUCCUUUCUGUUUUAUCACAUAUCUCUUCCGUCUUAAAAGUGGGUUAAUUAUCACAAAGGACACGUAAAUUUUAGUUGAUUAUGUAUUUUUCUAUAUUUGAUUGAUACUUUCUAUUUCUAUAGAAGACAUUUUUCCUCUUAUCUUAUGUUUAUUGAGCUAGGCUGGGUUGAUACUCUACCUUUGUUUCACAAAGUUUUAUUUUAAUAUUUUUAAAAAAAAAUCAUGUUUUCUCUUAUAUAUUUAACAUUGAUCAGGCAUUUUAAAUUUUAAUUCAAACCAAGGCCACCCUCGUCUCAACCUUGACUAAUAGUCUAAAUUUGUGAAACGGACAAGUAUUUUAACUCUAUAUUUGCUGCCUAUGAGCAGAGCAAAUGCCAAAUGUAUCUUAAGAUCCGCUGUUAGGUGUUUUCCCUCAUUUCUUAUUUUAUUUGGUUUUUCGUUUUUGAAGUAAGGGCAACAUAUUUAUUAUAAUUGAAAUUUUCUUUUUCUAAAAAAAAAUUAUAAAUUUCUCAUAUUUAGCUAGUCCUUUUUUGUGGAGGAAAAUGUUGUGGACUUCUACAAAUUAAGGAUCUUUCCUUGGGCGGAGAAUUUUUAAGACAAGGUUAUCCUACCACUUGUGUAAUGUGGCUCUUUGUGAAGUUAUUCUCUUGAUAUUUUAUAUUUUUUUUUAUACAGUGGAUUGUCUAUCUCCGUCUGUGAAUGUAGGUCAAUUGACCGAACCACAUUAAAUAUUUGUAUCUUUUUUAAUAUACUUCUCUUUUGUAUUUUAAUUUAUCGUCGUUGAAGAUAUAUUUUGUUAGCUUUCGCAUAAGACCUUAUUUUCGAUUCUAACAUCCAACAAGGAAACGAUAAGCUCGAGAAUGGUUAAUAAAACCAGGUAACUUGGUCCAUAUAGACAUGGGAUAUUUUCACGGUUACGAUCAAAUAUGAUGGUAGAUAUUUCAAAAGGGAAGUGAAAGCGAGUCUUGAAAUUUUUUCAAACAUUCUAUACAGUACACUAAUUAAUUGAUCAAUGUUAAAAGAUUGAGGAUUCGGAUAGUGCAAAAUUUAGUCAAAGACGAUGUAAGUUGAUAAUAACAAUAAUUAAAGCAAAAAAAGAAAGUACAAAUGGUUUGAUCAAUAUGACUUACGCCCACAAACAGAAAUAAGCAAAUUACUAUCCAAUAAGAAUAUAAAAGAGAUUAUAAAAUUAAAGCAAACACUCUAAUUAAUCUCAAAUAUCUCAAAAAAAUAAUCUCAUCAUAUUACUCAAAAAAAAAAAGGUUCACCCAAAUAUUUCAAACAUUAACUCUUAAAAUUUAUUCUCAAUAGAUAAAGGAGAAGAGAACGACAAAGAAAGGUGGUGUGAUUCCAUCGUGAAAGAGGCAUCCUAUUUAUAGGAAUUUGUGGCUAAGACGCCAAUAAUGAGAUAAAGUCUUAAUUCUGCCAACAAGAAAGGCUAAAAGAACAAGGCCGCCUUUUACGACCAACGAAAAUGAGUGGAAAUGACAUCAGCUAAGCGUUUAAAAUAUAUUCAUUGUAAUGUAUUUGCUCAAAUUUCAAGACACGUUCUGCCGUUUAAACCUCAAAAUUCAAACUUUAGACAUCGUGUUCAGAAGUUUAAAUUUUACAUCCUGAAUUUUAAAUUAGUAAUACAGAAAUUAAGAAUACUUAAUCCUAAAUUUUAAAUUUGCUGCUAAAAAAUUAAAGACACUAAAUCUUUUAAAUAUCGGGCUAUAAAAUGACUAUUGCGCACUCCGCCCCAAAAAUGACCCCAUGUAAUUCGAGUAUAUUUAUAUGUUAUCCUACGGCUCUUGAUUUGCUUAUAUUUCUCAAGAGUCAAGAGAAGCAAAAGUAAAUAAUAAAAUAUGGUGGCUCAAUACAACGUUGUUGAUGGUGGUUACAGGCUUCGGGUGAUGUUUGGCAUGAUUGUUGCGUCUCUAGCAGUAAUGUCUAUAGUCAUCUUCAAUUGUGGAGAGUCCAGUGAGGACAAGCACAAGUCUCACACUGCUCAUAACGCUAGAACUCAUGGUGCUGCAGCUGCUGCGGGAAUCGCUGCUGCGAACGCCUCCGUGUUAGCUGCUAGCAGCGCCAGCGAUGCGACCGGAGGAGGAGGAGGAGGAGGAGGAGGAGGAGGAGGAGGUGGAGGUGGAUGUUAAACAUCUCAAGGGAGGACGUAUACUAUUUACAUGGUUCACUUGCUUAUGUUUCACUUAAUGUUGUGUUUGUGUCUUCUGUUAUUCUAUGGCUAUGAAUUGCACAUUAAUUUCUGUGUAUCGACUUGCUUUUUAUUCGGGGACCGUUUGAGCUUAGUUCUCGCAGCUGUCUUUUUAGUUGGGAAAUUCUCAUAAUUUCCUUACAGCUUGUUUGGAUGGCUGUUACGUGUUCAUUGUUAUUAAAAUUUUAUUGUAUAAUAUCGUUAAAUUCGUUGUUGUGUAACGAAAAGUGUCACUUUAUGGAACCCCUGAUUUAGUGUGGUCGCGUCGUUUUCUUAUUUUUUUCCCUCUCAUCUUGUCCUUUUUUAUUAUUAAAAAUUAUAUUUUAUCCUUUAACCUACC
RNAcentral lists this long non-coding RNA (2973 nucleotides) under Nicotiana tabacum (common tobacco). RNAcentral's name for it is "long non-coding RNA (NTAB_LNC016311)". The record is from RNAcentral. Lineage: Eukaryota; Viridiplantae; Streptophyta; Magnoliopsida; Solanales; Solanaceae.